AAAAUAUAUAAAAAGCUUUUUGUCAAAUUAUAUUAAUUGUCUUUUACAAUAUAAAAAAAUGGUUAAAGUAAAAAAAAUUGAGGAAAGUAAAAAAAUAAAAGUCAAACGACAAUUAUUUGUCAAACCUGUAGCUAAGAACUUUUGUCAAUUCUUCAGGUGACACUUAUGUAAUUGAUUUAGAAAACAAACCAGAAGAUCAACAAUUAUGUUAUCGUAGUUAUGUUUCUUGGUGUAAAGGAAAUACUCCUUCUACUCUUAGUAUUAAUAAUUUUGCAGAUUUUUAUACCUAUGACGACGACAGUUUUAUUAGAAACCCUAAAGAUUAUUUCAGUAAAACGAAUAAUUUAACUGAACCUUUAGCAAUUGACACUACUAGCGAUUAUAAUUAUGUUAACGACAAACCUCCGGCAACCAUUCAAGGAAACAAUUCCUUACAAAUUACCGUUGAUUUUGUUACCAAUUUUAAAGGUAUCGUGACUCUGUACCUUCAACAUGCGGCACAAUUGAUUCAAACUGGAACAGGAGAAGACGAAAAUUACACAUAUUUUCCUUUCAAAUUUAAAUCAUCAUAACACCUUUUACAACAUUUUUGUUUUAGUUAAAUUAACCAUGUUUUAAUUGUAUUUUUUUAUGCACGCACGACUAUUUAAUUUAAAAAGAUAUAAAAAACUUCAUUCAUACUUUGUUUUUUCUAAAAAAAAAAUUUUUUUAAAUCUAUGGCGCGAAGGCAUUAUCGAAAAAGAAGACAUCAUCGAAGACAUCGAGGUAAAGGAAAAAUUAUUACUAAAGUUAAAAAUCUAGCUAGGCGUAUUCUUAGAUCUGACGUAGGAGGAUAUGCUCUUGAUUAUUUAGCAAAACAACGUAAUGUGUAAAACGUGUAAAAAAAGAAAUUAUUCAAGAAAAAAAAAACGUUUUAGAAAAAAAAUUCGAGGAUCUGGAGAUCUAAUGAAAAGUUUAGCAGUCAUUGAAAACUUCGCCUACAUUUGUGUCUAUUGUUAAAUCACCCGUAGCACAUUCUAUUAUGAAUGCUAUAAAAUCAAAAUAAUAAUCUAUUUAAAUAACAUAAAAAAGAUUAUAAAAAAAGACAUAAAAGUAAAAAAAUGAUUUUAUUUUUAUUAUAAUGCGUAGAAGACGUGGUCGUGGCAGAGUUUAUUUACCACCAUUAAAAGGAGCUGGUAAAAGACGAUUAAGAAAACGCUUGCGUGGCAAAUUUUUACCAUUAUUAGCAAUGGGUAUGUUGGGAAGUACAUUUUUAGGAGGUAUGCGAUAAUACAAAAAUAAAUAUGCAUAAAAAACGAAUUUUUUAAAAAAGACGAUCUAAAAGACGUUACAAAAAACGGAUACGUGGUAAAUAUAUGGCUGCAAUAGGAGCAAUUGCUUCAAAACUUUUACCAAGACUUUUACCUGUAUUAGGAAGAGCCGCUUUAGGUGGUGCAGUUUCGGGAGGAAUAUCUUAUGGGAUCAAUCAAGCUGGAAAAUAAAAACAUUUCUUUGUAUCAUUUUAAUUUAUUAAAUAUUGUAUUACAACCGUA
This is a long non-coding RNA of Hydra vulgaris (swiftwater hydra), 1532 nucleotides long. RefSeq lists it as uncharacterized. Lineage: Eukaryota; Metazoa; Cnidaria; Hydrozoa; Anthoathecata; Hydridae. The record is from RefSeq and is a predicted model, not a curated record.